RNAcentral lists this ribosomal RNA (465 nucleotides) under uncultured Spirochaeta sp. Its description in RNAcentral is "bacterial SSU rRNA". It matches the Rfam family "Bacterial small subunit ribosomal RNA", at positions 338 to 795 of the family's 1533-position model. The record is from RNAcentral. Lineage: Bacteria; Pseudomonadati; Spirochaetota; Spirochaetia; Spirochaetales; Spirochaetaceae.
CCUACGGGAGGCUGCAGUGAGGAAUCUUCCGCAAUGGGCGAAAGCCUGACGGAGCGACGCCGCGUGGACGAAGAAGGCGGAAACGUUGUAAAGUCCUUUUCUUGAGGAGGAAUAAGCCUGCGAGGGAAUGCGCGGGUGAUGACGGUAAUCGAGGAAUAAGCCCCGGCUAAUUACGUGCCAGCAGCCGCGGUAACACGUAAGGGGCAAGCGUUGUUCGGAAUUAUUGGGCGUAAAGGGCGUGUAGGCGGUUCUGCAAGCCUGGUGUUAAAUACCACAGCUUAACUGUGGGAAAGCGCUGGGAACUGCGGGACUAGAGUUUAGGAGGGGAAGCUAGAAUUCCAGGUGUAGGGGUGAAAUCUGUAGAUAUCUGGAAGAAUACCAGUGGCGAAGGCGAGCUUCUGGCCAUAGACUGACGCUGAUGCGCGAAAGCGUGGGGAGCGAACAGGCUUAGAUACCCCAGUAGUC